GUGCAGCAGGCGCGAAACCUUUACACUGCACGCAAGUGCGAUAAGGGGACCCCAAGUGCGAGGGCAUAUAGUCCUCGCUUUUCUCGACUGUAAGGCGGUCGAGGAAUAAGAGCUGGGCAAGACCGGUGCCAGCCGCCGCGGUAAUACCGGCAGCUCAAGUGAUGACCGAUAUUAUUGGGCCUAAAGCGUCCGUAGCCGGCCACGAAGGUUCAUCGGGAAAUCCGCCAGCUCAACUGGCGGGCGUCCGGUGAAAACCACGUGGCUUGGGACCGGAAGGCUCGAGGGGUACGUCCGGGGUAGGAGUGAAAUCCCGUAAUCCUGGACGGACCACCGAUGGCGAAAGCACCUCGAGAAGACGGAUCCGACGGUGAGGGACGAAAGCUAGGGUCUCGAACCGGAUUAGAUACCCGGGUAGUCCUAGCUGUAAACGAUGCUCGCUAGGUGUGACACAGGCUACGAGCCUGUGUUGUGCCGUAGGGAAGCCGAGAAGCGAGCC
RNAcentral lists this ribosomal RNA (496 nucleotides) under Haloferax volcanii. RNAcentral's name for it is "bacterial SSU rRNA". It matches the Rfam family "Archaeal small subunit ribosomal RNA", at positions 330 to 825 of the family's 1478-position model. The record is from RNAcentral. Lineage: Archaea; Methanobacteriati; Methanobacteriota; Halobacteria; Halobacteriales; Haloferacaceae.